Molecule: ribosomal RNA, 162 nt
Filed under: uncultured Moraxellaceae bacterium
Lineage: Bacteria; Pseudomonadati; Pseudomonadota; Gammaproteobacteria; Moraxellales; Moraxellaceae
Description: partial 16S ribosomal RNA
Rfam family: Bacterial small subunit ribosomal RNA
Source: RNAcentral
GAGUAGGUGAUAGGGAAGUAGAAUUCCAGGUGUAGCGGUCAAAUGCGUAGAGAUCUGGAGGAAUACCGAUGGCGAAGGCAGCUUCCUGGCAUCAUACUGACACUGAGGCUCGAAAGCGUGGGUAGCAAACAGGAUUAGAUACCGUAGUAGCCCAAGGGACAU